GAAACUUCCAUAAAACUAGACUUCUAAUCUAGUCCCAAGCAAUAUUGUUUAAGUUUCU
Molecule: transfer RNA, 58 nt
Filed under: Cucujoidea sp. 34 KM-2017
Lineage: Eukaryota; Metazoa; Arthropoda; Insecta; Coleoptera
Description: tRNA-Ser
Source: RNAcentral